This 481-nucleotide long non-coding RNA is filed under the name Populus trichocarpa (black cottonwood). Its description in RNAcentral is "long non-coding RNA (PTRI_LNC002544)". The record is from RNAcentral. Lineage: Eukaryota; Viridiplantae; Streptophyta; Magnoliopsida; Malpighiales; Salicaceae.
AAGGGAAAGUGGAGUGGAUAGCAUUGCAAUUUGCAGCGCCAACUCAAGUGCAUGGGCGGCAAUGACUUUUUUUGAAAGCUUUCGGUAAUUGAGUUCAGUAAGUCAUGCAAAAGCACUCAUCUUCCCCAAAUGACUAGUUUGCCCUAACUUGAUGGCUUAAUCACUUGAUGCCAGCACUUUCUUGGUGGGCAUGCUUGGGGUAAAUUGACAAGAAUGUGAAGUCGAGCACAGCCAGGGCAGUGAGCCCAGAGAUGUGAGCUCCCAUCCUGAUGUUAACUUUCUUCCUGUAAUCAUAGCAUUUCCAUGAUUCGUUCGCCGUCCAAAGAAUUGAUAGGAGCUCGCAGCAUCUUCAACUUAAAGGGUUUCGUUGGAAACUUUCUAUGGCACAUUACUUAUUGUCCUGGAGAUUUCCUAGCCUUCCCCAUACAUGGAACUACGAAAGGUGUAAUAUGAAAACUUGUUUUUCUGCAUAUUCUUCAGA